CCACAGUCUUCCCAGACAGGCAUGUAAUUUACACCAAUCUCAUCUGCAGCAUCGGAGGCGUGAAAUACUAACACUUGACACACAAACGAAAAACUACAACUGAAAUUAAAAACAAAGCCGGAGGGCCAGAUGGAUGACAAUUGUGUUAUCUGAACCCUCAUAGAUAUUUCUCCUUAGGACUUCAGAGAUACAGACCCCAUCAGGAUUCACUGCUGUCCACUGUGUGUUUGUUGGUCACCAGAGAGGGUUGGUCCAUGCUUCAAAGCUACUGAACGUAUUUUCUCUCAUUCCCUUAUGCAUUCCAAUACAUGCAAAACACUUCCAGCAUCCAUGGCCACAGAUUAUUUCUCUCUCCUCUUGGAAUAUGAAAAACUGAACUGGCUUAACACCUGUCCUCAACAGAUUGGAGUUGCAGUGUCUCCCACACAAGAGACAUAGGGAGCAGAGCUGGGGAGUGGAACAAACAGAAUAUGAAGACAGAAUGCAACAACCUAGAUGGGAUAAGAAACCAGGAAGCCGUCCAACAUGCAGAGAAGCAAGGGUACUCUCCAUUGGAUGCCAUGAAAGAUGCAAGCAUGGCCUACACUGGCAGCAGAAACCAAUGGGAAGUCAGUUGUUUCCAUGUGAGGUUUUCACUGUUGGCCUCCCAGGGCUCCAGUGUUUUUCAAAAGUGCACAGUAGAUGGAAAUCUAACAGGUUUCGCUGUGCUUUCCAUGAAGCAGCAAUAAUGAGGGGAGUUGCACCUGUAACUCCACUGUCUGCCACACAUCUUGUACAAGCAUAGAGGCCCUGCAAGAACAAAAAGUUGGCAACCACAUACCUCUGUGAACCUACUCUACAACUGAUGCUGAUUGAUAACUGCUGUGACUGAGCUGUGUCUCUGUUUUGAUUAUGGCUAGCUGAUUCC
This is a non-coding RNA of Podarcis muralis (Common wall lizard), 907 nucleotides long. NCBI's taxonomy places the organism in Eukaryota, Metazoa, Chordata, Lepidosauria, Squamata, Lacertidae. The record is from RefSeq and is a predicted model, not a curated record.